ACCCUAUCUCAAAUUAGCAUGUGAAAUGGAGAGUCCUUCUUAAAGAAGGCUCUUAAUUAAAUGCAUUGCCUUAAAAGAUAAACCAGAUAUCCAUUGAUUUGUCACCAAUUUAAUAUGAGGUUUUUAUGACACGUAGAGGAGGAAGAGUCCUUCCACUAUAAGCAUCUGAUGUGCCAAAAAUUCCAUGCGAUAAAUUUAUUCACUAUGUGAGAAUAUGGAGCGCCAAAGGUUGGCACCCCUUCAUCCCAUGUGACGUCUAUUGGUCCCCUAUUUAUAUGGGAUGCUCCACUUGAUUUUAUGCUAUAAUUUUGGGUUAAAACUAGAGAGGAGGGAUGUGAAAAUCAUUGAAAAAAAUUUUUAAAAAAAUUGAGAAAAAAGCAAGAAAAAUUUGUGUGGCAAAAGUUGCAAGAAGGAUGGUGAGAUUUUUAGUAAGUGUUGCUAGUGUACCAUAGGAUUUAGUUUUUUCAUAUGUUGGAGCCAAAAAUUAAAUCUUAGAUUAUAUGACACUGAAGAGUAUCUUCUUGGUGUCAUUUUGGUAGCA
RNAcentral lists this long non-coding RNA (541 nucleotides) under Elaeis guineensis (African oil palm). Its description in RNAcentral is "long non-coding RNA (EGUI_LNC064987)". Lineage: Eukaryota; Viridiplantae; Streptophyta; Magnoliopsida; Arecales; Arecaceae. The record is from RNAcentral.